GACGAACGCUGGCGGCGUGCCUAAUACAUGCAAGUCGAACGCUUCUUUCCUCCCGCGUGCUUGCCCUCAAUUGGAAAGCGGAGUGGCGGACGGGUGAGUAACACGUGGGUAACCUACCCAUCAGAGGGGGAUAACACUUGGAAACAGGUGCUAAUACCGCCUAACCGUUUAUGCCGCAUGGCAUAAGAGUGAAAGGCGCUUUCGGGUGUCGCUGGUGGAUGGACCCGCGGUGCAUUCGCUAGUUGGUGAGGUAACGGCUCACCUAGGCCACGAUGCAUAGCCGACCUGAGAGGGUGAUCGGCCACACUGGGACUGAGACACGGCCCAGACUCCUACGGGAGGCAGCAGUAGGGAAUCUUCGGCAAUGGACGAAAGUCUGACCGAGCAACGCCGCGUGAGUGAAGAGGGUUUUCGGAUCGUAAAACUCUGUUGUUAGAGAAGAACAAGGACGUUAGUAACUGAACGUCCCCUGACGGUAUCUAACCAGAAAGACACGGCUAACUACGUG
This 508-nucleotide ribosomal RNA is filed under the name uncultured bacterium. RNAcentral's name for it is "partial 16S ribosomal RNA". It matches the Rfam family "Bacterial small subunit ribosomal RNA", at positions 28 to 507 of the family's 1533-position model. The record is from RNAcentral.